CCCACCAAUCUCGUUUGGCUCCGCUCCCGCCCUUCGCCCUACCCUUCCCACCUUCUCCUCCUCCUCUUUCUCCGCUCUGUUUCACUGCCGAAGACGCGAUGCUCGGAUUGGCUCGAGGGCAGGCGGCAGUGAUGGUGGUGGUGAUGCGGAUGCAAGCGCAGAUUUGAUGUUGCUGCAGGCUUCGAGAUGGCUUCAGAGAAUCAUGAGGGCGGAGUUGCCAUCGAGUUCGGUGUCUUGUCGCGUGAUAUGACACUUCGGCCCAACCCGUCGUCAGUCAUCAUCUCCCAUCUAUCGACGGCUGCGAUAUCGGGACCCGAUGAACGAAGGGUCGAGAUGUGAUCUAAUCCAGCAGCGCCGAAGACUAGACCGCCAGGAAACGCAACAGGUCACGAGGUAAACGAUACUAUGGGUCGUUACUUCU
Molecule: long non-coding RNA, 421 nt
Organism: Musa acuminata subsp. malaccensis (wild Malaysian banana)
Lineage: Eukaryota; Viridiplantae; Streptophyta; Magnoliopsida; Zingiberales; Musaceae
Source: RefSeq, a predicted model, not a curated record